AACGAACGCUGGCGGCAUGCCUAACACAUGCAAGUCGAACGAGACCUUCGAGUCUAGUGGCGCACGGGUGCGUAACGCGUGGGAACCUGCCCUUAGGUUCGGAAUAACUCCCCGAAAGGGGUGCUAAUACCGGAUAAUGUCUUCGGACCAAAGAUUUAUCGCCUUUGGAUGGGCCCGCGUUGGAUUAGCUAGUUGGUAGGGUAAAAGCCUACCAAGGCGACGAUCUAUAGCUGGUCUGAGAGGAUGAUCAGCCACACUGGGACUGAGACACGGCCCAGACUCCUACGGGAGGCAGCAGUGGGGAAUAUUGGACAAUGGGCGAAAGCCUGAUCCAGCAAUGCCGCGUGAGUGAUGAAGGCCUUAGGGUUGUAAAGCUCUUUUACCCGGGAUGAUAAUGACAGUACCGGGAGAAUAAGCUCCGGCUAACUCCGUG
This 433-nucleotide ribosomal RNA is filed under the name uncultured bacterium. RNAcentral describes it as "partial 16S ribosomal RNA". It matches the Rfam family "Bacterial small subunit ribosomal RNA", at positions 29 to 507 of the family's 1533-position model. The record is from RNAcentral.